Molecule: ribosomal RNA, 783 nt
Filed under: uncultured Arthrobacter sp.
Lineage: Bacteria; Bacillati; Actinomycetota; Actinomycetes; Micrococcales; Micrococcaceae
Description: bacterial SSU rRNA
Rfam family: Bacterial small subunit ribosomal RNA
Source: RNAcentral
GAUCCGGUGCUUGCACCGGGGAUUAGUGGCGAACGGGUGAGUAACACGUGAGUAACCUGCCCUUGACUCUGGGAUAAGCCUGGGAAACUGGGUCUAAUACCGGAUAUGACUCCUCAUCGCAUGGUGGGGGGUGGAAAGCUUUUGCGGUUUUGGAUGGACUCGCGGCCUAUCAGCUUGUUGGUGAGGUAAUGGCUCACCAAGGCGACGACGGGUAGCCGGCCUGAGAGGGUGACCGGCCACACUGGGACUGAGACACGGCCCAGACUCCUACGGGAGGCAGCAGUGGGGAAUAUUGCACAAUGGGCGAAAGCCUGAUGCAGCGACGCCGCGUGAGGGAUGACGGCCUUCGGGUUGUAAACCUCUUUCAGUAGGGAAGAAGCGAAAGUGACGGUACCUGCAGAAGAAGCGCCGGCUAACUACGUGCCAGCAGCCGCGGUAAUACGUAGGGCGCAAGCGUUAUCCGGAAUUAUUGGGCGUAAAGAGCUCGUAGGCGGUUUGUCGCGUCUGCCGUGAAAGUCCGGGGCUCAACUCCGGAUCUGCGGUGGGUACGGGCAGACUAGAGUGAUGUAGGGGAGACUGGAAUUCCUGGUGUAGCGGUGAAAUGCGCAGAUAUCAGGAGGAACACCGAUGGCGAAGGCAGGUCUCUGGGCAUUAACUGACGCUGAGGAGCGAAAGCAUGGGGAGCGAACAGGAUUAGAUACCCUGGUAGUCCAUGCCGUAAACGUUGGGCACUAGGUGUGGGGGACAUUCCACGUUUUCCGCGCCGUAGCUAACGCAUUAAGU